Molecule: ribosomal RNA, 253 nt
Filed under: uncultured bacterium
Lineage: Bacteria
Description: partial 16S ribosomal RNA
Rfam family: Bacterial small subunit ribosomal RNA
Source: RNAcentral
UACGAAGGGGGCUAGCGUUGCUCGGAAUUACUGGGCGUAAAGGGCGCGUAGGCGGCCCCUUUUGUCGCGUGUGAAAGCCCCGGGCUCAACCUGGGAGGUGCGCGCGAAACGGGGGGGCUUGAGUUCGGGAGAGGAGCGUGGAAUUCCCAGUGUAGAGGUGAAAUUCGUAGAUAUUGGGAAGAACACCGGUGGCGAAGGCGGCGCUCUGGACCGAGACUGACGCUGAGGCGCGAAAGCGUGGGGAGCAAACAGG